CAGUCGCCGCGGGAAUACGUAUGUCACGAGCGUUAUCCGGAUUUAUUGGGCGUAAAGCGCGUCUAGGUGGUUAUGUAAGUCUGAUGUGAAAAUGCAGGGCUCAACUCUGUAUUGCGUUGGAAACUGUAUAACUAGAGUACUGGAGAGGUAAGCGGAACUACAAGUGUAGAGGUGAAAUUCGUAGAUAUUUGUAGGAAUGCCGAUGGGGAAGCCAGCUUACUGGACAGAUACUGACGCUGAAGCGCGAAAGCGUGGGUAGCAAACAGGAUUAGAUACCCCCGUAGUCCCUGUCUCUUAUACA
RNAcentral lists this ribosomal RNA (301 nucleotides) under uncultured bacterium. Its description in RNAcentral is "partial 16S ribosomal RNA". It matches the Rfam family "Bacterial small subunit ribosomal RNA", at positions 509 to 808 of the family's 1533-position model. The record is from RNAcentral.